UACGCCCGAUCUCGUCCGAUCUCGGAAGCCAAGCAGGGUCGGGCCUAGUUAGUACUUGGAUGGGAGACCGCCUGGGAAUACCAGGUGCUGUAAGCUU
RNAcentral lists this ribosomal RNA (97 nucleotides) under Chelon labrosus (thicklip grey mullet). Lineage: Eukaryota; Metazoa; Chordata; Actinopteri; Mugiliformes; Mugilidae. The record is from RNAcentral.